This 927-nucleotide ribosomal RNA is filed under the name Staphylococcus aureus. Its description in RNAcentral is "partial 23S ribosomal RNA". It matches the Rfam family "Bacterial large subunit ribosomal RNA", at positions 1237 to 2160 of the family's 2925-position model. Lineage: Bacteria; Bacillati; Bacillota; Bacilli; Caryophanales; Staphylococcaceae. The record is from RNAcentral.
CGUUCUAAGGGCGUUGAAGCAUGAUCGUAAGGACAUGUGGAGCGCUUAGAAGUGAGAAUGCCGGUGUGAGUAGUGAAAGACGGGUGAGAAUCCCGUCCACCGAUUGACUAAGGUUUCCAGAGGAAGGCUCGUCCGCUCUGGGUUAGUCGGGUCCUAAGCUGAGGCCGACAGGCGUAGGCGAUGGAUAACAGGUUGAUAUUCCUGUACCACCUAUAAUCGUUUUAAUCGAUGGGGGGACGCAGUAGGAUAGGCGAAGCGUGCGAUUGGAUUGCACGUCUAAGCAGUAAGGCUGAGUAUUAGGCAAAUCCGGUACUCGUUAAGGCUGAGCUGUGAUGGGGAGAAGACAUUGUGUCUUCGAGUCGUUGAUUUCACACUGCCGAGAAAAGCCUCUAGAUAGAAAAUAGGUGCCCGUACCGCAAACCGACACAGGUAGUCAAGAUGAGAAUUCUAAGGUGAGCGAGCGAACUCUCGUUAAGGAACUCGGCAAAAUGACCCCGUAACUUCGGGAGAAGGGGUGCUCUUUAGGGUUAACGCCCAGAAGAGCCGCAGUGAAUAGGCCCAAGCGACUGUUUAUCAAAAACACAGGUCUCUGCUAAACCGUAAGGUGAUGUAUAGGGGCUGACGCCUGCCCGGUGCUGGAAGGUUAAGAGGAGUGGUUAGCUUCUGCGAAGCUACGAAUCGAAGCCCCAGUAAACGGCGGCCGUAACUAUAACGGUCCUAAGGUAGCGAAAUUCCUUGUCGGGUAAGUUCCGACCCGCACGAAAGGCGUAACGAUUUGGGCACUGUCUCAACGAGAGACUCGGUGAAAUCAUAGUACCUGUGAAGAUGCAGGUUACCCGCGACAGGACGGAAAGACCCCGUGGAGCUUUACUGUAGCCUGAUAUUGAAAUUCGGCACAGCUUGUACAGGAUAGGUAGGAGCCUUUGA